CGAGAAGUCGAGUAUCCGUCCUGGAAAAGAGCUUUCUUGGAAUUUAAUGCGGCAUUCUUAAGGGAUUUAGAAAUAACAAAAAGCAUCGUUUGGAGAAUAGGGAGCUUCAGAGGAAGACAGUUUAACAGCUAUGGCAGAAAGUAAUCUCCUAACAACGGGGGAAGAACUGGACUUGAACAAUGAGCCUCCAGUCACAGCGACAGAGAAAAGCCAAUUUACGUCAAGUGAUUCAAAACUGGAGAUAUACGAUGACCCUUCAAGAG
This is a non-coding RNA of Pocillopora verrucosa, 263 nucleotides long. The record is from RefSeq and is a predicted model, not a curated record. Lineage: Eukaryota; Metazoa; Cnidaria; Anthozoa; Scleractinia; Pocilloporidae.